AAAGUGGGGGACCGCAAGGCCUCACGCGAAUGGAGCGGCCGAUGUCAGAUUAGCUAGUUGGUGGGGUAAAGGCCCACCAAGGCGACGAUCUGUAGCGGGUCUGAGAGGAUGAUCCGCCACACUGGGACUGAGACACGGCCCAGACUCCUACGGGAGGCAGCAGUGGGGAAUUUUGGACAAUGGGCGCAAGCCUGAUCCAGCCAUGCCGCGUGCGGGACGAAGGCCUUCGGGUUGUAAACCGCUUUCAGCCGGAAAGAAAUCGCCGUUUUUAAUACAGACGGUGGAUGACGGUACCGGAAGAAGAAGCACCGGCUAACUACGUG
This 323-nucleotide ribosomal RNA is filed under the name uncultured bacterium. RNAcentral's name for it is "bacterial SSU rRNA". It matches the Rfam family "Bacterial small subunit ribosomal RNA", at positions 202 to 507 of the family's 1533-position model. The record is from RNAcentral.